CCUACGGGAGGCAGCAGUGGGGAAUAUUGCACAAUGGGGGAAACCCUGAUGCAGUGACGCCGCGUGAAGGAUGAAGUAUUUCGGUAUGUAAACUUCUAUCAGCAGGGAAGAAAAUGACGGUACCUGACUAAGAAGCCCCGGCUAACUACGUGCCAGCAGCCGCGGUAAUACGUAGGGGGCAAGCGUUAUCCGGAUUUACUGGGUGUAAAGGGAGCGUAGACGGUAUGGCAAGUCUGAUGUGAAAACCCGGGGCUCAACCCCGGGACUGCAUGGGAAACUGCCGGACUGGAGUGUCGGAGAGGCAAGUGGAAUUCCUAGUGUAGCGGUGAAAUGCGUAGAUAUUAGGAGGAACACCAGUGGCGAAGGCGGCUUGCUGGACGGUGACUGACGUUGAGGCUCGAAAGCGUGGGGAGCAAACAGGAUUAGAUACCCGAGUAGUC
RNAcentral lists this ribosomal RNA (440 nucleotides) under uncultured bacterium. Its description in RNAcentral is "partial 16S ribosomal RNA". It matches the Rfam family "Bacterial small subunit ribosomal RNA", at positions 338 to 795 of the family's 1533-position model. The record is from RNAcentral.